ACUUCUUAAGUUUUAUAAUACAUUAGGUUGCAAACCUAAAAAUCAUAGAAGUA
RNAcentral lists this transfer RNA (53 nucleotides) under Dermatophagoides farinae (American house dust mite). RNAcentral describes it as "tRNA-Cys". Lineage: Eukaryota; Metazoa; Arthropoda; Arachnida; Sarcoptiformes; Pyroglyphidae. The record is from RNAcentral.